This 237-nucleotide unclassified non-coding RNA is filed under the name Niesslia aurantiaca. RNAcentral describes it as "Collarina aurantiaca partial internal transcribed spacer region". The stretch from base 1 to 46 matches the Rfam family "Eukaryotic small subunit ribosomal RNA", at positions 1786 to 1831 of the family's 1831-position model. The record is from RNAcentral. RNAcentral also lists the same sequence under 3 other names. Lineage: Eukaryota; Fungi; Ascomycota; Sordariomycetes; Hypocreales; Niessliaceae.
AAGUCGUAACAAGGUCUCCGUUGGUGAACCAGCGGAGGGAUCAUUACUGAGUGUUACAACUCCCAAACCCUUUGUGAACACUACCAUUCGUUGCUUCGGCGGGACCGCCCCGGCGCCUCUGCGCGCCGGAACCAGGCGCCCGCCGGGGACCCGAAACUCUUGUUUUGUCAGUGGUAUUUUCUCUGAGUGGCAUAAGCAAAUAAAUUAAAACUUUCAACAACGGAUCUCUUGGUUCUG